RNAcentral lists this ribosomal RNA (410 nucleotides) under uncultured microorganism. RNAcentral's name for it is "bacterial SSU rRNA". It matches the Rfam family "Archaeal small subunit ribosomal RNA", at positions 330 to 745 of the family's 1478-position model. The record is from RNAcentral.
GCGCAGCAGUCGAGAAACUUUACAAUGUGCGAAAGCACGAUAAGGGAACUCUGAGUGCCUCCUAAGGAGGCUGUUCUGAUGUCUAAAAAGCAACAGAAGUAAGGGCUGGGUAAGACCGGUGCCAGCCGCCGCGGUAACACCGGCAGCCCAAGUGGUAGCCACGUUUAUUGGGUCUAAAGCGUUCGUAGCCGGCCAGGUAAGUUCCUUGGUAAAUUUAGCCGCUUAACGGUUAAGCUUUCAGGGAAUACUGCUUGGCUUGGGACUGGGGAGAGGUCAGAGGUACUCCGGGGGUAGGGGUGAAAUCUAUUAAUCCCUGGGGGACCACCGGUAGCGAAGGCGUCUGACCAGACCAGGUCCGACGGUGAGGGACGAAGGCUAGGGGCGCGAACCGGAUUAGAUACCCGCAUAGU